Molecule: long non-coding RNA, 207 nt
Filed under: Trifolium pratense (red clover)
Lineage: Eukaryota; Viridiplantae; Streptophyta; Magnoliopsida; Fabales; Fabaceae
Description: long non-coding RNA (TPRA_LNC004789)
Source: RNAcentral
ACUCUGAUACACUUUUCUCGUCCCACUCAUCUCCGACCAUCUCACUCUCUACUCACAACAACAAUCAUCUCUCUUUUUCCAUCUGGUCGCAGAAACGUAACAACAUCAUCGUUCGCUCAUCUUCUCGCGUUCGCAGCUUCACCACAACACAAUUUAGCCGUUGUUCUCCUCUUGUCUGAGAUUGUUCAGAUUCACGCUUUACCUCGC